RNAcentral lists this ribosomal RNA (166 nucleotides) under uncultured bacterium. Its description in RNAcentral is "partial 16S rRNA". It matches the Rfam family "Bacterial small subunit ribosomal RNA", at positions 355 to 511 of the family's 1533-position model. The record is from RNAcentral.
UAGGGAAUCUUCGGCAAUGGGGGCGAACCCUGACCGAGCAACGCCGCGUGAGUGAAGAAGGUUUUCGGAUCGUAAAGCUCUGUUGUAAGAGAAGAACGUGUGUGAGAGUGGAAAGUUCACACAGUGACGGUAACUUACCAGAAAGGGACGGCUAACUACGUGCCAA